GGUGAACGCUGGCGGUAGGCCUAACACAUGCAAGUCGAACGGCAGCACAGUAAGAGCUUGCUCUUACGGGUGGCGAGUGGCGGACGGGUGAGGAAUACAUCGGAAUCUACUUUUUCGUGGGGGAUAACGUAGGGAGACUUACGCUAAUACCGCAUACGACCUACGGGUGAAAGCAGGGGAUCUUCGGACCUUGCGCGAUUGAAUGAGCCGAUGUCGGAUUAGCUAGUUGGCGGGGUAAAGGCCCACCAAGGCGACGAUCCGUAGCUGGUCUGAGAGGAUGAUCAGCCACACUGGAACUGAGACACGGUCCAGACUCCUACGGGAGGCAGCAGUGGGGAAUAUUGGACAAUGGGCGCAAGCCUGAUCCAGCCAUACCGCGUGGGUGAAGAAGGCCUUCGGGUUGUAAAGCCCUUUUGUUGGGAAAGAAAAGCAGCAGGUUAAUACCCCGCUGUUCUGACGGUACCCAAAGAAUAAGCACCGGCUAACUUCGUG
RNAcentral lists this ribosomal RNA (492 nucleotides) under uncultured bacterium. RNAcentral describes it as "partial 16S ribosomal RNA". It matches the Rfam family "Bacterial small subunit ribosomal RNA", at positions 28 to 507 of the family's 1533-position model. The record is from RNAcentral.